CUGUGCACAGUGUUAGUCCAACACCAAUUCGUGUUAUAUUAAAAUGUUACCUAAUAGAUUGACUAUUGGAACAAUUGGAUUCUGCAAUUUGCUAUAUUGAUUUAAAUUUGAAGCAUUCAUGCUAUUCUAUUACCUCCUUAUGAAUCUCUUUUGUCUGCCUCCAAAAAGAAGGCAGUACAGCUUGGGUGAAUGCUGUUUUUAAAAAAACACUGUUCUUUGCUCAUAGAUUUUUCUAUGAAUAAACUCAUCAACUGGGAUUAGAAGGGCUGUAUCAUGAUUCAGUGGGAAUUUGCCUAGUUUUCGUUUGUCAUCCCAGUCUCUUACCUAGUAAUUCUGUCUAUAUUUUGAACAUAAUUCUGAACAAUGAAAUCAACAGUUCAUAUUGUUUUUCAUCCCUUCCCUUUUCCUCUGUUUAGAACUUUGCGGCAUUGAAAAGUAUUUCAUUCCUCUAAUAGUCUGGAAGUAUAGAUAAGUCCUUGUUGGUGAUCAUAAUGAUUAAAAGAAGAAUAUGAUGUUUGAGAAAAGAAAAUGAAAGUGGAUUGGUGAUGAGGGUAUAGGGAAGCCAUCAAAGAGCUAAGAUUGCUACUGUGGAGAAAACUCAAAUCAGAGGAUGAUAUGAAAGUUGAGGGAGUUUUUGGGGAAGUCUCAGAAGUUUGGUAGUGUCAGAUGAACAUUGAAAAUGACAGUUUCUGCAUAUGGGAACUAAAUAUUGAAGCUUUAUGGUUUACACACAAGAUCUUUAGAAAUUAGAAACUCCAGGGCCUUCAUUUGUCCACUUAAGUAAAAGAACUAGAUAAAACAGGCAAUCCCAAAAGGACAAAUAUCAUAUAUUCUCUCUGACAUAAAGAAACCUCCAUGCCAAAUACAAACCAAAUAGAUACAUAGGACCAAGGAAACGAAUACCAGAAACAAAGAGCACAAAGUAUUUUCUUCAU
Long non-coding RNA from Ochotona curzoniae (black-lipped pika), 935 nucleotides. RefSeq lists it as uncharacterized. Lineage: Eukaryota; Metazoa; Chordata; Mammalia; Lagomorpha; Ochotonidae. The transcript is spliced from 5 exons. The record is from RefSeq and is a predicted model, not a curated record.